UACGUAGGGUGCGAGCGUUGUCCGGAAUUAUUGGGCGUAAAGAGCUCGUAGGCGGUGUGUCGCGUCGGCCGUGAAAACCUGGGGCUUAACUCUGGGCGUGCGGUCGAUACGGGCAUCACUAGAGUUCGGCAGGGGAGACUGGAAUUCCUGGUGUAGCGGUGAAAUGCGCAGAUAUCAGGAGGAACACCGAUGGCGAAGGCAGUUCUCUGGGCCGUAACUGACGCUGAGGAGCGAAAGCGUGGGGAGCGAACAGG
RNAcentral lists this ribosomal RNA (254 nucleotides) under uncultured bacterium. RNAcentral describes it as "partial 16S ribosomal RNA". It matches the Rfam family "Bacterial small subunit ribosomal RNA", at positions 524 to 776 of the family's 1533-position model. The record is from RNAcentral.